Molecule: ribosomal RNA, 198 nt
Filed under: uncultured bacterium
Lineage: Bacteria
Description: partial 16S ribosomal RNA
Rfam family: Bacterial small subunit ribosomal RNA
Source: RNAcentral
ACGCUCGACACCUACGGGUGGCAGCAGUGGGGAAUAUUGCACAAUGGGGGAAACCCUGAUGCAGCAACGCCGCGUGAAGGAAGACGGUUUUCGGAUUGUAAACUUCUGUUCUUAGUGAAGAUAGUGACGGUAGCUAAGGAGCAAGCCACGGCUAACUACGUGCCAGCAGUCGCGGUAAUCUGAGCGGGCUGGCAAGGC